AAAGUUUUGGACUCUGUUUUCUUACCGAAUCACAUACCUCUUCGUUUUCGGAGUCUGAAACAGGCUGAUAAAUAUCCCUUAGGUAUUCUUCCGAAGUUAUGGUAUUGAUAAUAUUGCUUUCAACAUUUAUGGGAGUACCUGAGAUAUAAUGCUUGAUUCUCUGCCCAUUUACCACUCUCGGACAAUUACCUUCCGUGUUGUUGAUCUUGAUAGAACCGGAACGAUAUACUUCCUCAACAACAUAGGGACCUUCCCAUUUAGAGAGAAG
Molecule: long non-coding RNA, 268 nt
Filed under: Hordeum vulgare
Lineage: Eukaryota; Viridiplantae; Streptophyta; Magnoliopsida; Poales; Poaceae
Description: long non-coding RNA (HVUL_LNC014203)
Source: RNAcentral